Paramuricea clavata is the source of this 372-nucleotide non-coding RNA. Lineage: Eukaryota; Metazoa; Cnidaria; Anthozoa; Malacalcyonacea; Plexauridae. The record is from the annotation of a GenBank genome assembly.
CUUCGCACUGCCUUGUUGUAUUUUUACUGUUUUUACAGUUUUGAGAUCCUUAUAGGACAAUCUCUUCAAAAAAGUUACUAGGAUGUUCUUAGCUUGUGUUCAAUGUUUUGGUGCCAAAGUUGGCACAUCAUUUUCCCAUCAUUUUCAGGGUUGCCUUUCCUUUUCUCUCCUUUAUCUCUCGACUUAUCGUUUCUAAUUAACCAAUUCACCCCUCCUCAGUUCCUAUAAUCGUUAUUGCCAUAAUUCAUCACGUAUAUGCAGUUCAUACUAUUGAAGUUGAAGUAAAUAACAAUAAAUUUGAAUACUGGUCCUAUAAUUAUUUAGGUUACACAAUGUCUCACACCAGUACUUGUCCCAUUACCUAUUUACACC